GAUGAAGAACGUAGCGAAAUGCGAUAAGUAAUGUGAAUUGCAGAAUUCAGUGAAUCAUCGAAUCUUUGAACGCACCUUGCGCUCCUUGGUAUUCCGAGGAGCAUGCCUGUUCGAGCGUCAUUAUAACCCCUCAAGCUCAGCUUGGUGUUGGGGCCUGCUGCACUGGCAGCCCUUAAAAUCAGUGGCGGCGCCAUCUGGCUCUAAGCGUAGUAAUUCUUCUCGCUAUGGAGUCCUGGUGGAUGCUUGCCAUCAACCCCCAAUUUUUCUAUGGUUGACCUCGGAUCAGGUAGGGAUACCCGCUGAACUUAAGCAUAUCAAUAAGCGGAGGA
This 329-nucleotide unclassified non-coding RNA is filed under the name soil metagenome. Its description in RNAcentral is "partial contains 5.8S ribosomal RNA, internal transcribed spacer 2, and large subunit ribosomal RNA". The stretch from base 1 to 120 matches the Rfam family "5.8S ribosomal RNA", at positions 35 to 154 of the family's 154-position model. The record is from RNAcentral.